UCCUUAGAUGUUCUGGGCCGCACGCGUACUACACUGAUGCAAUCAAUAAGUCACCUACUCUGAAGAGACGUGGGUAAUCUUCUUAAACUGCAUCGUGCUUGGGAUAGAUCUUUGCAAUUGUAGAUCUUGAACGAGGAAUUCCUAGUAAGCAUGGGUCAUCAGCCCAUGUUGAUUACGUCCCUGCCCUUUGUACACACCGCCCGUCGCUCCUACCGAUUCGAGUGGUUCGGCGAAUUAUCCGGACCGGCCUCCGGGCUGGGAAGUUUUGUAAGCCAUAUCACUUAGAGGAAGGAUAAGUCGUAACA
This 305-nucleotide ribosomal RNA is filed under the name uncultured eukaryote. RNAcentral's name for it is "partial 18S ribosomal RNA". It matches the Rfam family "Eukaryotic small subunit ribosomal RNA", at positions 1470 to 1796 of the family's 1831-position model. The record is from RNAcentral.